CCUACGGGAGGCAGCAGUGGGGAAUAUUGCACAAUGGGGGAAACCCUGAUGCAGCGACGCCGCGUGAGUGAAGAAGUAAUUCGUUAUGGAAAGCUCUAUCAGCAGGGAAGAAAAUGACGGUACCUGAGUAAGAAGCCCCGGCUAACUACGUGCCAGCAGCCGCGGUAAUACGUAGGGGGCAAGCGUUAUCCGGAUUUACGGGGUGUAAAGGGAGCGUAGACGGCAGUGCAAGUCUGGAGUGAAAGGCGGGGGCUCAACCCCCGGACUGCUCUGGAAACUGUACGGCUGGAGUGCAGGAGAGGUAAGUGGAAUUCCUAGUGUAGCGGUGAAAUGCGUAGAUAUUAGGAGGAACACCAGUGGCGAAGGCGGCUUACUGGACUGUAACUGACGUUGAGGCUCGAAAGCGUGGGGAGCAAACAGGAUUAGAUACCCCAGUAGUC
This 440-nucleotide ribosomal RNA is filed under the name uncultured bacterium. RNAcentral's name for it is "partial 16S ribosomal RNA". It matches the Rfam family "Bacterial small subunit ribosomal RNA", at positions 338 to 795 of the family's 1533-position model. The record is from RNAcentral.